UUUUAGUGCAGUUAUGGAUUUUCGUGUUCAACAUUUGACCGUCCGUCUUAUUUCAAAACUUUAUGCAAAAAUAAAAAAAGUAGUCACACAUAAAGUAUUAUUCAUGUUUUACCAUCUAAUAGCAAUAAAAUACUAAUCAUAUUUUUUUUUCAAAUAAGAUGGACGGUCAAACAUUGGAGCAAAAUUGUGGUCUUUCUAGGA
Molecule: microRNA precursor, 201 nt
Filed under: Oryza glumipatula
Lineage: Eukaryota; Viridiplantae; Streptophyta; Magnoliopsida; Poales; Poaceae
Description: MIR812 microRNA precursor family
Rfam family: MIR812 microRNA precursor family
Source: Rfam by way of RNAcentral